This 688-nucleotide ribosomal RNA is filed under the name Sulfitobacter sp. R4-Chit-T4-13. RNAcentral's name for it is "bacterial SSU rRNA". It matches the Rfam family "Bacterial small subunit ribosomal RNA", at positions 44 to 776 of the family's 1533-position model. Lineage: Bacteria; Pseudomonadati; Pseudomonadota; Alphaproteobacteria; Rhodobacterales; Roseobacteraceae. The record is from RNAcentral.
AGGCCUAACACAUGCAAGUCGAGCGCAGUCCUUCGGGACCGAGCGGCGGACGGGUUAGUAACGCGUGGGAACAUACCCUUUUCUACGGAAUAGCCUCGGGAAACUGAGAGUAAUACCGUAUAAGCCCUUCGGGGGAAAGAUUUAUCGGGAAAGGAUUGGCCCGCGUUAGAUUAGAUAGUUGGUGGGGUAAUGGCCUACCAAGUCUACGAUCUAUAGCUGGUUUUAGAGGAUGAUCAGCAACACUGGGACUGAGACACGGCCCAGACUCCUACGGGAGGCAGCAGUGGGGAAUCUUAGACAAUGGGCGCAAGCCUGAUCUAGCCAUGCCGCGUGUGUGAUGAAGGUCUUAGGAUCGUAAAGCACUUUCGCCAGGGAUGAUAAUGACAGUACCUGGUAAAGAAACCCCGGCUAACUCCGUGCCAGCAGCCGCGGUAAUACGGAGGGGGUUAGCGUUGUUCGGAAUUACUGGGCGUAAAGCGUACGUAGGCGGAUCAAAAAGUUAGGGGUGAAAUCCCGAGGCUCAACCUCGGAACUGCCUCUAAAACUCCUGGUCUUGAGUUCGAGAGAGGUGAGUGGAAUUCCAAGUGUAGAGGUGAAAUUCGUAGAUAUUUGGAGGAACACCAGUGGCGAAAGCGGCUCACUGGCUUGAUACUGACGCUUAGGUACGAAAGUGUGGGGAGCAAACAGG